UCUAGACAAGUCCUCCAUCACCCCUCCCCUCUUUCCCCUUUCCUCUUCUCCUAGUAGCUCAGAUCCUCCAUGAUUUUCACCUUCUCUUUCAAACUCAGUUGAAGGGCAUUUUAUAUUUGAUUUUCAUUUGUAAGUUUCUCUAUAUUCAAGCAAUUUGUUAGUUCAUAUUUCUAUCUUUUUCUUUGUAUGUAUUUGUUUGUUUUAAAGGUUGAUUUUCAUUAGAUUUUUUUUCGAAAAUUUUGAGGUUUUGUUAGUGUAAUAUGAUUUUGUAGUGGGUUAUAUGACUUUAAGGGACCCCAAUAACAUAUUUUUUGAAUUCUAGUUGCUUCUAGGAUUUAUUCAUAAGAUUUUUGUUUUGUUUGAAAUUAAUAUUUUUUUCGUCAAUUGUCUUGGGUAUUAAUUUUGUGAGUGGUCCGUUGUUAUAUAUCAGGGGUGUGUAAGAGUCUUCAAACUUUGUUUCCUUAAAAUUUUUUAGGGCUUUGAAUUAUUAUUUUUACUUUUUAAAAUUGAAAUCCUUUCCUAGUACGUACAAAUUCACUGGCGAUGUUCUUUUCUUAUCACUAUACUGGUAAGUAAAUGACUUUAAUGAUAAUGAUACUUCAAUUUCGCUAUGAAGAUUGUUUUGUAUCUGACCCUUAUAUAAGGUAUGUCAAUGCAAUCAUUAGCUUUGAAAAAUAAUAAUAAUAUAGAUAUAAAUGUUGCAUAUCGUGUUGUUUCAUAAAUUGACAGUUAAAAUUGGUGUUGAAAACAUUGAAACAUUUGGAUGUAGAGUCGAUAAGGGUAGUUAUUACAUGUUAAAUAUUGAUUCUGAUGAUUUAAAAUUUCUAAAUAGUUUGACUGUUAAGACUUUGUUGAUUUAUUUGGGAUAAGCCAAAUUAGUAUACCUUUAGUUGUUGAGGAUAACCUGUAAUGCCUAGCACUAGUGCUGAUAAGUCCUCCACUCCAAAAAAGGAAGAGUUGGUGUAUCAUCCUUCCCGCAAAAAGAUCGGGCUAAUAUGGUUUCUUCUCAACCAUUUGAGAAAAAUAAAAAUAUCAAUUUAAAUGAUAAUCAAUCACCAAAAUUGAAGACCACCUUCCUAGAGUAAAUGUAGAGCUUCAUUUUGAUAUUGAUUCAGUCUAUCAUGAUGUUGUUAAAAAAAAUUGAUAAUUUCAGUAAUUUGAAGAAGUAGUUGCUUCAAGCUAGAUAGUCUAACAUUCGUGUAAGAGUGAAAUAGAAGGUUGAUAGAGUAAAUCUUGAUGAGAUACCAUUUGAUCCCUACAGUAAAUGUAAAGCUUUAUUUUGAUAUUGAUUCACUCUAUCAUGAUGUUGUUAAAAAAAUUGAUAAUUUCAGUAGUUUGAAGAAGUAGUUGCUUCAAGCUAGAUAGUCUAACAUUCGUGUAAGAGUGAAAGAGAAGGUUGAUAGAGUAAAUCUUGAUGAGAUACCAUUUGAUCCUAUAGUUGGAUUUGAAGACCUUUCUGAGGACACAUGGAGAAGAUUUGAAGGCAAUUCGGGAAGCGAUGACCCUUAUUAUGAUAGCUCAGAUUCUGACAGUAUUAGCGAAGAAAAAGGGGAUCUUAUUGAGAAAGAUGAAGUGGUAGAUCCGUUACCUAGGAAUACAAGUAUUGAGAUCUAUUUUGACCCAAUUGCUUGAAAAAUUUUAUUUUCAAUUUUAUAUAAUUUUUUGAUUCAUAUUGAGUUUAGGGAGACACUGUAAGUUUACUCUAUUAAAAAAGGUGUGAAUAUUAGGUUGAAAUCUAAUAACAAGAAAAUGAUAAGGGUAAAGUGUAAAAAAAAAUGAAUUGUCCGUGUCUUAUUCUUGAGAGUAUUGAUGAUAACACGGAAAACUUUAUUGUGAAGACAUAUUUAUCUUUCUACAGUUGUUAUAUUAGAAUAAUAAAUAAAUUCUAUAUCAAAUAUGGAUUAGUAAAAUUUACAAGAAAAGGAUUAUGGGUGAACCUAUCAUCAAACUACAUUAUAUUCAAUCUUUGUUAAGAAAGUAGUAAGGUUUGUAUGCCGUAAGACAAUUUGUAGAAAGGCAAAAAAGAGAAUUAUGCAUGCACAUUUGGAUGAUUUUUAGAGAGGAAUUUUCUAGGGAGUAUGACUAUGCUGAAGAGUUAAAUACCACAAAUUCAAAAAUUACUAUAUCUAUUAGGAUAUCCAAGAGACAAAUUUCAAGAAAAAGAAUUAUUUAUGGACAUCUGUAUUUUGUCUUGAUUUCUUAAAAAAAUGGAUGAAAAGAAUUGUGUAGAAGAAUUAAUUUAGAUGGUGUAUUUCUUAAGAGUGUAUGCACUGUUAUCUUGCAUUUUCAAAGAUGAAAAUAAUCAGAUAUAUCGUAUAGUAUGAGCAGUAGUUGAUAAAGAGACUAAGGACACACGACCUUCGUUUCUCAAGUGCAUCAAACAUGAUUUGGAGCUUACAGAAACUGAAGGUUAAGGACUAAUAUUGAAAUAUGAUAUGUCGAAGAUACUACUAAAUUAUUUGUUAAAUUUAUUUUUCAACUUUCUAUAAUAAUAGAUAUUUAACAAUUUUGUAUGUCUAAUGUUCUUUAUUUGACAUCCAUUUUCAAGUAGCACUUAUUGAAUUAUUUUCAAAUAUUGCAAUUAGAUGGUGUGCUAUGGAUAUACAGACAAACGGAAAGAAAGAAUGGUUGAGUGAAAAAAGGAUAAUUUUUUUUUGCCAUAUUACAGGACAUCAUUUAAAGUGCUUUACAUGUAUAGGACAAGACAUUGUGAAAUAUAUGUUGAAGUAUUACAAAAAAUCAUGAUCUAGAGCAUUUUUUAAAGAAAAGAGUUAGUGUGAUGUGGUUAAAAACAACAUGUGUAAGACUUUCAAUCGUUGAAUUUUGAGUGCAAGAUCAAAUCAAUCAUCUCUAUGUUAGAGGAAUUAAGAGUCAAAAUCAUGAAAAUAGUGAAUCAAAUGUAAUAAUUUCUAAAAAAAAGUAAUUGUUUUUUGAUAUAUCACCAAUGGUUAUGAAAGUUCUUAGAUGAAAUGCUAAAAUUAUAGAUAAUUUGAGAUCAAGUUUAAUGGUGAUUUCGAAUUUGAGAUUCAUGCUCCACUAUAUAAACAUGUUGUUGAGCUAAAAGAGAGGUGUGUAGUUGUAGAUCAUGACAAUUAAGAAAAUUUCUGGUACCCAUGAACUAACAUAAAUUCACUAUAAGGAUUGAAUUGCUGAGUCAUUUGUUUAUCAUUGGUAUGAGAAAGAAAUAUACUUGAAAGCAUAUUAUAUGUUUAUUCAACCUAUAACAAACACAAAAAUGUAGUAGAAAAGCCCAAGACCAACCAUUUAAAAUUAUUAUCAUACCAGAAAGAUCGAAUAAAAAUAGGAGAAAAGAUAAUGAUGAACCUAUUAAGAAGUUUGAAAAGGCUAUAAUGAAAGGAAGACAAAUAAAAUAUUUUAUGUAAGACUUUUGAACGUAACAAGAAAGAAUACUCAACUUUGAUAAUUUGGGUGUAAGUGUCUUUCUGUGACUGGAUUUCAUUCUUUCUAGUUGUACCUUUGACUUUUAAAUAUGUUUGAAAAAAUAUGUUGGAUCCUUAACUAAUGAAACUUGUUGAAGUGAUAAAAACAUUCACUACAUCUGAUUUUACAAAUGUUGCAACUGAAAGUCAAUCAAGUACUAAUGCAGGUCCAAGUGUGACAUCUACCAUAGUAGGUUUAAGGCUUACAACAACUUCAACAAUUGAUGAAAGGCUUACUAGUGCUAUAUCAAGUGGUGUAAGGCUACUUAAAUAUAUGGUAGACGUCCAAUUAGUGUUGUGUUAUACCGAACACAACUCCAUUAGAUACUAAACAAUCAAUUUCUAGUGCACUUGGCCUAUCAAGAAAUAGUAACAAAACUUUGAGAAGUGGUGUGAUUCCUGAAUAUAAGAGAUCAAGAUAAAAAAAAUGCAAAAACAAUUAAUUAUGAUGUCUUAUUUGGAUCAAGUGGCAGUGUAAUUGAGAGAAUAUUUAUUAUAUCAUUUGAACAUAUUUAAUUGACAUCAAAUCAUCUUUUAGUGGAGAUUUUUUAAAUCAUUUUCUCGGUCUAAAAAUACCGAUAAAGUGUUGCAUAGUGAUACAUUUACAAAUUCAACUCCUACCAAUAUUAGUCUUGGUUACAAACCAAUGGACUAAGGUGGAAGGAAAGAACUACAGUUACUCAAACAGAGCUACGAGAGGAGAUUUACAGAAGCACUCAAUCUAUAAUAGACACACAUGUUACACCAAGUGCUCAAUGCACACAUUAGAUUACUCUUUGUUAAACUUAUGACUCGAUUUCAAUUGACAUUUUUAGCUUAUUAUAGUCAUCCAAACUAUUUUGGUUCUACCUUAUUGUUACGAAGAUUUUGUUUUUGUUUAUGAAUUUGUGUUUGAAUGCCUAAUACAAUCAAUUAUUGCCUUUGUUAAGUUGUUAUUGUGAAGACUAAUGACUUGAUCCCAACUAUUAAAUUUCAUUGUUAAGUUGAUAUUCAAAUUUGUGUGAAGAGGUUCUUCUGAAGCAAAUAUAGUCAAUUAUUGAAGCUAAUGCCUUUGUUAUGUCAUUUCAUUAUCAAAUAACAGCUAAUACAAAUCAAUACAUCAUAAAAAUGACAGCUAGAAAACAAAUUACAACAAUAACAAUAAUAGUGAUUUCUAGGGGUAUUCAUGGUUUGGUUUGAAUUAAUUAUUGGAUAAAAUAAAAUCAGAAUCAAAUCAAUCUAGUCGGCUUUUUAAAUUUCUAAAAUCAAACCAAACAAAAAACAUAAUCAUUGGUUUGGUUAUUCUUGAUUUGCUUCAGGUUUUCUAUUUUUUUGGUAUGAGAAAAAUAAUUUUUUAAGGAUAUACGUAUCUCGAUAGACACAAACACCUAAGACAUGAAUAAUUCAAAUGCAAGCUACUGUUUGUUCAAUUAAACAAUACUAAAAUUAUUAUUACACGAACAAAAUGAUUCAAUUAAGAAAAAAUGUUACUAUCUUAUGUGAGGUUGGGUAGAUAAAUCUUAUAUUCUAGGUUUUUUUUAUGAUCCUCACAAAUAUAGGGACUCGGUCCUUAGGAGAGUGCUAUCGUCCGUAUUCAUCCUAGGGUACAACUGUAAAGUUGUCAUGUCAGAUGGAAGGUGAAAGUGCAGAUAUUGCACCAAUAAGAAGAGUUGACGAGAUUGUUUGUUUCAGUGGCUCACAAAUGCAGGGACCUGGUCACUGGCAGAGCUCUCUCCAUCUGAUACAUAAUGGUGUACAGCUGUAAAGUUGUCCUGUCAAUGGUAGGUGAGACGCCAGUGUACUGGACUAAUCAGAAUGAAAGAGGUUGUUUGUCCAACAGUUAAUAACUAUUUAUGGUUGAUAUUUUCAACAUGACAAACACCAUGUUAAAGUCAUUCAUUCAAAGGAAAAAGUCAGCCAAUAAGUCUAUUUUGGAACUCUCUAAGAACGUAGCAAGGGACGUGGUCCCGGAAAGUCUGCAUAUGAGAAAAGGACAAAAAGACAGCUGCCAAAAAACUGUCAAUUCGGAUGUGGUUGGUGCACAACUUUUAAUAACAGCACACUCUCAACCAAUAGACUCGUCCCAAUGGUUUGUAUCCACUUUGAUAUAGUCUCUUCUCUAACAAUACAAACAUAAGUUUUGACAAAUAAAGUUUUGGAUUUCAGAAAAUUCUAAAGCUCAAAAAGCAAAGGCCAUCUUCAAGAAGGAUCAUCCUAAGAGCAACAGGGACCUGAUAGAGUUGCAAGCUACUUAGUUGUGUUAGGAUUAUAUCUUCCAUGCUUACAUUGUAAAUUUGUUCCUAAUAUAUAAAGGAUUCAAAUAUUUGUUUCGUGUUUGUAAAAGUCUAAAUCAAUUAGGGUUAACUGAUUUAGUGGGCAACAUUGUUUUGUUGCUUAGUAAAAUUCUAAGUCAUCUAGAUUUAGAUGGUUUAGUGGGAGGUGUGGUAUCCGCUUAGUCAAAUCCUAAGUCAUCCGAAACGUGGUAAUUUAGUGGGCAACUUGCGUGUUGCUUAGUUGAAUCCUAAAUUGUCUAGUGGUGAUAACUUAGUGGGUAGAGUGUCAUCUGCUUAGGCUCUUCAAGCAAUAGGGUUGUUGCUUGGUCGUGAGAUUAAUAAAUUUUUCUCACAUUGUUGUAACUAGGUUUCACUUUUUCUUGUGAAGAUUAGUGAAGACAGUUGAAAAUCCUGUGCAACAGGUUAUGAUUUUACUCUCUUGAGUAAGGAGAUUUCCACGUAAACUGCAUGUGUUGUGUUGUCCGUUGACUGAUAGUGGAAGAACUCAUUCCAACAAUUGGUAUCAGAGGAGGUUCUCUCUAGAUGGUUAACACCAAGUGAGAUUCAUAUGAAAAGAUGGUUGCUCCACUCAACGGAAAUCAAGAAGUAUCAAAGAAGGAGUUGAAAAAAAAGAAUUCUCUAGCUAUCAAGAUGAUAUCUGGUAAAAUUUUUGAUGAAUAUAAGGACAUGACAUGCCUCACGAGAAGGUUUCAAAAAUGGGAAAGGAAAGAUAGAGGUUUACGAAAGGUAGAAAACUCAAAUAGAGUUGCAAAUGCAAACCAGCAGUGCCACAAGUGCAAAGAUUUAGGGCAUUUCACCAGAGAUUUCCCCAUGCAUAAGGUUGAAGUAAAAAAUUAUCAAAGACCUGGAGGAGAGAAAGGCAGAAAAAGGGACCCAGUUCCUGAUAAAAACAAACAAGAAAAGUUGCAGCUGGCUACAUUAUGAAGAAAGCUUUUGAUGUUUGGGGAGACUCCUCAAUUGAGUCAAAUGAAUCAGAAUGUCCUGUAGGUGUAUCUAGGCAAGCUGUUAAAGACGAUGAAAAUGUGUUUGAUGGCAUGUUCACAUUCAUGGCGAAAUCUGAUGACGAGGAUGAUGAAGAAAAGGUAACUCUCCUUGAUCUUAAACAAAACUUGAGUGUCUUCAAUGAUAAAAGGUUGAGGAAUCUAGCCGCUGUGUUGAUUGACUCUAUCAUUGAGUUUAAAACUGAAAAUGAUUUGAUGAAUAACAACCUAGAUAUCCUUCAUGAAGAAAAGGUAGUCGUGGUGGAUCAAAUGUCUGUUGUGGAAGAACAAUUGAUAGUUCUAGAAGCUGAAAAUCUAGAACUAAGUAAGAUAAAAAAGGUGAUUACUACAACUUCUAAGAGAAAGAACGAGGCGAGCAACUUGCAGCUGGAGCUUGAAAAUAAGUUACACAGCGCUGAAUUGAAUAUGAACUUGACUUUCAUUAGAAAUCUUGUGAUGGAGAGGGACCUGGUCCGUAUAAUAGAGGAAUUGAACAAAUCCCUCAAAUGGAACACUUCCUACAAAAUGCUUAUGAAUGUUAUUAGUAAGGGUAACAAUAAUAUAAGAGGGUUGGGUUGUGAUAAGACAUAUUACCCAUACAAUCCUCACACAAAAAAAUGUUGUUGUUGAUAAUCUACUAUGUUUGCAUUGCGACGAGAUGGUCAAUUGAAGAAAGAGUGUCCAGCUUGGAAGAGAUCUCAAGUAAGUUUCUCAAACUAUUCUCAAUAGAAGAACAGGCAGAAAAAGGGACCUGGUUGUGCAUCUGGUCCUAAGUUGAAGAAAAUCAAUCUUCCUCUAUGGACAAUUAAAUCCUUUAUCACUCCAUUAUCUGGUUACUGGGAACUCCCACUAAAGUGCGUUCCCAAGGCUCACAAGUGAUAAGGUAUGCAGGUUAGAGAAAGUAAUAACAGUCCGUGUAAGUUCAUGAAUAGUGGAUGCUCAAAGCACUUGACUGGGAAGACUGAAAACUUCCUCUCUCAAGUCACUUCAAGAUGGAGGUGUCUUAUUUUGCGAUGGCAAAAAAGUGUAUAUUCUUGGUGCAUGCGUGAUUAGAAAAUCUAUGGAACAUACCAUUAAGGAUGUGUACUAUGUACGCGUACAAUCUUUCAAGUGUUUCAUAGAUUUGUUAUGAACUAAGUUGAGUUAAGUUCUUAUGAGAUAAAUGGGUGGUCACAACUUGAUUUCUCGGAUGAUUAUGCUAACAAGAAGGAGAUGUAAGAGCAUGUAUUAUUGAUCUAAACACUGCUUGUUACAACAGUCUCACUUCCUUUGAUACUCAAGGUGAGAAUAUGGUUUCAUGGGGCAUGAGACUUUGCGAGUUGAUCUCUUCUCUCCAAACAAACUUGUGUCAAGGGACUUGGUCUAUGGUCUGCUCAAAAUAAAAAUUCUAGAUAACAGUUUGUGAUGCUUGUGCUAAAAAGAAACAUAUAAGGCCAUAAUUCAGGUUGAAUAAGAAGAUCUUUAAUUUUCCAAAUGAAUUCUCUGUUGAAAUUGUGAAUACCAUAUGUUAUGUGACCUAAAAGGUGAUAUUGAGAAGUUUGAUCUCAAUAGUUAUGAAAGAAUGAUUGUGAGAUAUUCUUCCUGUAACAAGGCUUAUGAUAUACCGUGGUUUCACGGUAUUUUUAAUGCCUUUUCCUUAAGUUUAGUGUGUGUCCAAAAGCCUUUUUGUAUUAAUUUUUAUAUAAGUUUCUCUUUAUUUGCAGGAAAUCUGUCUAAAGAUGAACGCGGAAGUUUUUGAGCAAGAAAUGCAGAAAAGUACCACCUACGAAGCUUGUGAGGGUCUGUCGUGCCUGUGACGGUCCGUAGGUGGCAUCGUAGUGAAGCUGUUGAAGGAAGAUGGGGAAGUCUGACCAAGUGUGGGGUUACAAAGUGCGUGACGGACCGUCGUAGCCAUGACGGUCUGUCCCUGCUGGUUCAUCGUGAUGAUCAGAGAAGUAGUCCUAGUACCCAAAUUCCAAAGAGUUUAAGUGUUAUGGAACAAAGACCCUCUAUAGACCGUUGUGCCUGUGACGAUCCGUCAUACCUGCCGUCGAGGGUAAAAAAGAUAGCAGCAGAAGAAUUUGCAAAGUAUGGGAUGACGGAGUCCAUGACGGCCCGUCAUGACCACGACGACCCGUCGCGAGAUCCGUUGACCCAACCGCGUUUUUACAGAUUUCCAACAAUUAGAGUCCUUUUUUAUUAGGUUUUUGUUUUUUUAUAAAUAGUUCAAAAAACCUCAUUUUUGGGGUUAGACUCUCAUACGGUUAAACUCUUGGUUAUUAGACACUUUUAUGUUAUAUUCUUUGUGAGGAGAUUAUUUUGAUUAUUACACUUUGGAUUGUAACACUUUUCUCUGGAGUUGAUUGUUAGUGAUUUUGUCGAUUAA
Molecule: long non-coding RNA, 9058 nt
Filed under: Solanum lycopersicum (tomato)
Lineage: Eukaryota; Viridiplantae; Streptophyta; Magnoliopsida; Solanales; Solanaceae
Description: long non-coding RNA (SLYC_LNC000690)
Source: RNAcentral